CAGGAGAGGAACCUGUGACUCGACGUAAGAAAAGCACGUCAAAGCAGCAGCUUAGACAGAAGAGAGGCUCAGGAGGAGGAGCUUCAGUGACUCAACACAAACAGCAGUCUGCAGAAGAGCAAAGCUCAGAAGGAGAGGAACCUGUGACUCGACGUAAGAAAAGCACGUCAAAGCAGCAGCUUAGACAGAAGAGAGGCUCAGGAGGUGGUAAAAAGGCAAAAACAAAAAAG
This is a long non-coding RNA of Larimichthys crocea (large yellow croaker), 230 nucleotides long. RefSeq lists it as uncharacterized. Lineage: Eukaryota; Metazoa; Chordata; Actinopteri; Sciaenidae. The transcript has 4 exons. The record is from RefSeq and is a predicted model, not a curated record.